AACCCCUGCUGCCUGUUGCCACCACGAGAGGGUGGGACUCAGGCGGGACCGCCGGUGACAAACCGGAGGAAGGUGGGGACGACGUCAAGUCAUCAUGGCCCUUAUGUCCUGGGCUACACACGUGCUACAAUGGCCGGUACAGAGCGCAGCGAGGCCGCGAGGCGGAGCGAAUCGCUUAAAGCCGGUCCCAGUACGGAUUGGAGUCUGCAACCCGACUCCAUGAAGUUGGAAUCGCUAGUAAUCGCGCAUCAGCAUGGCGCGGUGAAUACGUUCCCGGGCCUU
Molecule: ribosomal RNA, 282 nt
Filed under: uncultured Spirochaeta sp.
Lineage: Bacteria; Pseudomonadati; Spirochaetota; Spirochaetia; Spirochaetales; Spirochaetaceae
Description: partial 16S ribosomal RNA
Rfam family: Bacterial small subunit ribosomal RNA
Source: RNAcentral